UACGGAGGGUGCAAGCGUUAUCCGGAUUUACUGGGUUUAAAGGGUGCGUAGGUGGGUAGGAAAGUCAGUGGUGAAAUCUUCGGGCUUAACCCGGAAACUGCCAUUGAUACUAUUUAUCUUGAAUACUUUGGAGGUAAGCGGAAUAUGGUCAUGUAGCGGUGAAAUGCUUAGAUAUGACAUAGAACACCAAUUGCGAAGGCAGCUUACUACACAGUUAUUGACACUGAGGCACGAAAGCGUGGGGAUCAAACAGGA
This 255-nucleotide ribosomal RNA is filed under the name uncultured bacterium. RNAcentral's name for it is "partial 16S ribosomal RNA". It matches the Rfam family "Bacterial small subunit ribosomal RNA", at positions 524 to 777 of the family's 1533-position model. The record is from RNAcentral.